Molecule: long non-coding RNA, 305 nt
Filed under: Elaeis guineensis (African oil palm)
Lineage: Eukaryota; Viridiplantae; Streptophyta; Magnoliopsida; Arecales; Arecaceae
Description: long non-coding RNA (EGUI_LNC015685)
Source: RNAcentral
UUGAGCUCACAGGAUGGAGACGUCUCAUCCCCCUCCAAUCAAUGAAAAGUCUCGUUCCCUUUUGUAACUCUAGCAACAUUUUGCUCGAACAUGAAGUGAACUUUGCAUGCAAAUGUUCAUCGGAAUAUUUCGAUGCAUCCCUAUCAUGGAUCAAAUUGGCAAAUCGAGUAUUUGGCUGCUGGUGCCUACAAGAGACGGAUGCAUGCAGUACGCGACACAAGCACCAUAUGCCCAUCUCCAAUAGCAUGCAACGAAAUGAUCAGCAACCUAUGUUGCAUAGAGAAUCAAAUGCUUGAAUGAACAUU